CAAUAGCGUAUAUUAAAGUUGUUGCAGUUAAAAGCUCGUAGUUGGAUUUCUGGGAGAGUGCCAAUGUCCGCCGACGUGCGUGCGCAGCGGCGCUCUUUCAUCCUUCUGUUAACGGCUCUUGGCAUUCAUUUGCUGGUGUCGGGCUCAGAUAUUUUACCUUGAGAAAAUUAGAGUGUUUCAGGCAGGCUAGGCCGGAAUACAUUAGCAUGGAAUAAUGGAAUAGGACUACGGUCUCUUUGUUGGUUUGAGGGACUGCAGUAAUGAUUAAUAGGGACAGUUGGGGGCAUUCGUAUUUCAUUGUCAGAGGUGAAAUUCUUGGAUUUAUGAAAGACGAACUUCUGCGAAAGCAUUUGCCAAGGAUGUUUUCAUUAAUCAAGAACGAAAGUUGGAGGCUCGAAGACGAUCAGAUACCGU
RNAcentral lists this ribosomal RNA (414 nucleotides) under uncultured eukaryote. RNAcentral's name for it is "bacterial SSU rRNA". It matches the Rfam family "Eukaryotic small subunit ribosomal RNA", at positions 592 to 1018 of the family's 1831-position model. The record is from RNAcentral.